AGGACGAACGCUGGCGGCGUGCUUAACACAUGCAAGUCGAGCGGUGAUCCUCCUUCGGGAGGUGAUCAGCGGCGAACGGGUGAGUAACACGUGGGCAACCUGCCCCUCACACUGGGAUAACCUCGGGAAACCGGGGCUAAUACCGGAUACGACCUCGAGCGGCAUCUCUUGAGGUGGAAAGCUCCGACGGUGAGGGAUGGGCCCGCGGCCUAUCAGCUUGUUGGCGGGGUAAUGGCCCACCAAGGCGAUGAUCGGUA
This 257-nucleotide ribosomal RNA is filed under the name uncultured bacterium. Its description in RNAcentral is "partial small subunit ribosomal RNA". It matches the Rfam family "Bacterial small subunit ribosomal RNA", at positions 26 to 285 of the family's 1533-position model. The record is from RNAcentral.